Long non-coding RNA from Cervus elaphus (red deer), 323 nucleotides. RefSeq lists it as uncharacterized. The transcript is spliced from 3 exons. The record is from RefSeq and is a predicted model, not a curated record. NCBI's taxonomy places the organism in Eukaryota, Metazoa, Chordata, Mammalia, Artiodactyla, Cervidae.
CAAAAACAAAUGGUCUUGCUGUGAAGAGAAAUGCUACUAUUUUUCUGAUAUACUUAAAACCUUCGAAGAGAGUCGGAAAUUCUGCUCCAACCAGGGGUCCCAUCUGUUGAAGAUAGAAGAUGAGGAUGAACAGGAAUUUAUUCAGUCUUUGGUGUCUUAUUUUUCUUGGAUUGGAUUAUCUCGAAAAGGAAUUGUCAGCCCCUGGAAGUGGGAAGAUGGUUCUUUGCUAGAAAAUAAACUAAAUCUGCAGAAUUCAAACAUAAACAACAACAACUGUGCAUAUGUUGCAGCAAACAAAGUAGCUGCCUCAGUGUGCACCAAGC